UCAAGCUACUAAGGGUGCAUGGUGGAUGCUUUGGCGCCAGGAGGCGAGGAAGGACGUGGGGUAGCUGCGAUAAGCCCGGGUGAGGUGCUACCAACCGUUGACCCCGGGAUCUCCGAAUGGGGAAACCUGGCCAGGGUCAUGCCUGGUCAUCCGCGGGUGAAUCCAUAGCUCGCGGAAGCCGACGCGGGGAACUGACACAUCUCAGUACCCGCAGGAAAGGAAAGAAACCUCGACUGCGUGAGUAGCGGCGAGCGAAAGCGCAUGAGCCCAAACCCGCGGCGUGUAAGGCCGCAGCCGUUGCGUCGCGGGGGUUGUAAGACAGCCGUAGGGGGUCUGCGGAGCCCCCGCGGGAGUUACCAAACACGCGCAUAGCGGAACCGGACUGGAAAGCCGGCCAGAGAGGGUGAUAGCCCCGUACGCGAAAUGCGCGUGUCUCCCCGGCUGUUCUUGAGUAGCGCGGUCCUCGUGGAAGGCCGCGUGAAUCCGGGAGGCCCACCUCCCAAGGCUAAGUACUCCCUGGCGACCGAUAGCGUACGAGUAGGGCGACCGAAAAGUGAAAAGAACCCCUGGAGGGGAGUGAAAGAGGACCUGAAACCGUGCACCUACAAGCGGUGGGAGGGCUAUGAGCACCCUCGGGUGCCACGCCUGACCACGUGCCUUUUGCUUAAUGAGUCCGGGAGUUGGCGUCGCUGGCAAGGUUAAGCCCUUCAGGGGCGUAGCCGCAGGGAAACCGAGUGCGAAAUGCGCGUGCAGUCAGCGGUGCCAGACCCGAAAGCGGGUGAUCUACCCAUGGGCAGGCUGAACAGGAUGUAACAAUCCUGGGAGGGCCGAACGGGUGGAUGUUGAAAAAUCCUCCGAUGACCUGUGGGUAGGAGCAAAAGACUAAUCAAACUCGCAAAUAUCUGGUUCUCCUCGAAAUCGCUUUCGGGCGAGCCUCGCGUGAUAGCGGCCGGGGGUAGAGAGACUGAAUCGGACUGUGGGGGCCACAAGCCUACCCUUCCGAACCAAACUCCGAAUACCGGCCGCCGUAUCGCGGGCAGUCAGACUACGGGGGAUAAGCUCCGUGGUCGAGAGGGAAACAGCCCAGACCGCCGGCUAAGGCCCCGGAACCGUGCUAAGUGCGAAAGGAAGUGGAGCUGCGAAGACAGCCGGGAUGUUGGCUUAGAAGCAGCCAUCAUUUAAAAAGUGCGUAAUAGCUUACCGGUCGAGCAGCUCUGCGCCGAAAAUGAUCGGGACUCAAGCACGGUGCCGAAGCCGCGGGUGUCGGGGAGCAGCGUCUUCCCGGCGCGGUAGAGGAGCGUUCCACGCUAGGUCGAAGGCGGACCGCAAGGACCGCUGGACGAUGUGGAAGUGAUCAUCCGGACAUGAGUAGCGAUAAACAGGGUGAGAAGCCCUGUCGCCGAAAGCCUAAGGUUUCCUGGGCAAGGUAACUCCGCUCAGGGUCAGUCGGGACCUAAGGCGAGGCCGAAAGGCGUAGCCGAUGGACAACCGGUCAACAUUCCGGUACCACUGCAUGGGCGUUGAUGAUGGCGUGACGCGGGUAUGAAGGCCUACCGGCGGCUGGAAGUGCCGGGCCAAGCCCGAGGGUGGCUGACAGGCAAAUCCGUCAGCGCAAGCCCGGAGGUGACGGGGGGCCUCGCAAGAGGCGAACUGGCUGGAGUGCCCGCCGAGAAAACCGUCGGUUCGGAGUCCAUGCGGUGCCCGUACUAAAACCGACACAGGUAGGCGAGGCGAGUAGCCUCAGGCGCUCGAGAGAACCCGGGAGAAGGAACUCGGCAAAAUGGUUCCGUAACUUCGGGAGAAGGAUCGCCUCCUCGCGUGAAGGGCCUCGCGCCCAGAGCGUGGGGGGGCCGCAGAGAAUCGGCUCCUGCGACUGUUUAGCAAAAACACAGGUCUGUGCCAAGACCAAAAGUCGACGUAUACAGACUGACGCCUGCCCGAUGCCGGAAGGUUAAGGAGAGGGGUCAGCCCUUGCGGCGAAGCUCCAAACCGAAGCCCCGGUGAAUGGCGGCCGUAACUAUGACGGUCCUAAGGUGGAUACGCACGCCUUAGUAAAACUGGGCCAUAUGCGGGGAACUCCUCGAAAACCGCACGGUACUCGUUCCGGCCUCCGGCCGGUUCAGUCACAAUCCGGCGGACAUGGGGACGAUCCGCAGGGAAGGCCCGCCUGCAUGGCGGGAACCCUCAGAGACUUGACGCCCAGGACCGGCCGAUGAAGCUCGACGCGCAAUGGGUGGUUGGAUUCGUGGAUGGCGAGGGCUGCUUUCACGUCGGGAUCGCAGCGCAUCCCGGCAUGAAGGCAGGCUAUCAGGUCCUGCCUGAGUUCGCCGUCGUCCAGCACAGGCGCGAUGUUCAGCUGCUGCAUGCCUUGAAGCGGUUCUUCGGUUGUGGCGUGGUUCGUAGCAACCACGGUGACCGCAUGGCCUACCGCGUGCGGAGGCAUGAGCAUCUCGCCGAGCGCAUCUGCCCGUUCUUCGUCAAGCAUCCCCUCAAGUCCAAGAAACGCGCGGACUUCGCGAAGUUUCGCCGCGUGGUCUUGAAGAUGGCGCGAGGGGAGCACCUCACCCCGGAAGGGGUCGAGGAGAUCCGCCGCAUCGCACGACAGAUGAACCGCGGAUCCGGUCGGUCAAGAUAAAGUCCGGCCCUCUCGGAAACGGGAUGGGAAUCACCGAGCGAAAUUCCUUGUCGGGUAAGUUCCGACCCGCAUGAAUGGCGUAACGACAGGAGCGCUGUCUCCUCCCGGGACUCGGCGAAAUUGGCGAGCGCGGUGAAGAUGACCGCGUACCCGCAGCAGGACGGAAAGACCCCGUGAACCUUUACUGCAGCUUCUACAUUGGUCUUGAGCUCGCUGUGUAGGAUAGGUGGGAGGCUGCGAAGAGCGGGCGCCAGCUCGGCGGAGCCAUCCUUGAAAUACCACCCUGCAUGUCUGGAUUCUAACCUCGAGCCGUAAGCCGGGCGAGGGACCGUGUAGGUGGGCAGUUUGACUGGGGCGGUCUCCUCCUAAAGCGUAACGGAGGAGCGCAAGGUCACCUCAGCGCGGUCGGAAUCGCGCGUUGAGUGCAAAGGCAGAAGGGUGCUUGACUGCAGAGACGACAGUCGAGCAGGUGCGAAAGCAGGCCUUAGUGAUCCGGCGGUAGCGUAUGGAAGGGCCGUCGCUCAACGGAUAAAAGGUACUCCGGGGAUAACAGGCUGAUCGCGCCCAAGAGUUCAUAUCGACGGCGCGGUUUGGCACCUCGAUGUCGGCUCAUCGCAUCCUGGGGCUGAAGGAGGUCCCAAGGGUUCGGCUGUUCGCCGAUUAAAGCGGUACGUGAGCUGGGUUCAGACCGGCGUGAGCCAGGUCGGUCCCUAUCCGCUGCGGGCGCAGGACGACUUGAGGGAGUUUGACCUUAGUACGAGAGGACUGGGUCGGACGGACCUCUGGUGUGCCGAGUUGGCCCGCCAGGGCCACUGCUCGGGUAGCUAUGUCCGGAACGGAUAACCGCUGAAGGCAUCUAAGCGUGAAGCCCGUCCCAAGAUGAGUCGUCCCCAUCAGGCUCCUGGAAGACUACCAGGUAGAUAGGCGGGGUGUGGAAGUGCGGUAACGCAUUGAGCUAACCCGUACUAAAGAGCCGAUCGGCUUGGC
This 3622-nucleotide ribosomal RNA is filed under the name Planctomycetota bacterium. RNAcentral's name for it is "23S ribosomal RNA". It matches the Rfam family "Bacterial large subunit ribosomal RNA". Lineage: Bacteria; Pseudomonadati; Planctomycetota. The record is from RNAcentral.